UACGGGGGGGGCAAGCGUUGUUCGGAAUUACUGGGCGUAAAGGGCUCGUAGGCGGCCAACUAAGUCAGACGUGAAAUCCCUCGGCUUAACCGGGGAACUGCAUCUGAUACUGGAUGGCUUGAGUUUGGGAGAGGGAUGCGGAAUUCCAGGUGUAGCGGUGAAAUGCGUAGAUAUCUGGAGGAACACCGGUGGCGAAGGCGGCAUCCUGGACCGACAUUGACGCUGAGGCGCGAAAGCCAGGGGAGCAAACGGG
RNAcentral lists this ribosomal RNA (253 nucleotides) under uncultured bacterium. RNAcentral's name for it is "partial 16S ribosomal RNA". It matches the Rfam family "Bacterial small subunit ribosomal RNA", at positions 524 to 776 of the family's 1533-position model. The record is from RNAcentral.